ACACGCUCAGACGUCUAGAGUUUGAUCUAUAGCAAACCUGAGGAACCAAAUGUUGUGGGGCGAAGCUUUAUGGCUCGUUAUUCAUCAGAUACCCUAGAAGAUGCGUUUGAUGUUAUCUUUUGGAGCACUUGAAGGCCAUGGUGUAUCAGGUGAAGAUGCGACACAUAAAUCAUCUCAAGGAAUGUAUCACUAACGCCAUUACAAGCAUAACUUCAACUAUGCUAAUGCAAGUUCAUCAACAGUGGAAAACACGUAUUAUGUGUUUUCAAAACAAUGACUAUCAUAUAGAGCACAUUAUAUAAAUAAAAAUGGUUGUCCAAC
This is a long non-coding RNA of Amphiprion ocellaris (clown anemonefish), 321 nucleotides long. Lineage: Eukaryota; Metazoa; Chordata; Actinopteri; Pomacentridae. The record is from Ensembl.